AUGCAGUUAGUUCUUGGUACUUCAGGGAAACUGAUCUCCCAAAAAAAAUCAGGCUGCGGGACGACCCAGUACGCUAAACACCGUCUUGCAACCGAAACCUCUAACCACCAAAAUGCCUUGGGGAAAUGCGUGUGGACCCGCCACCUUUUCCAGCAGGCUGGAACUCAAGAAGAGCCCGACACCAAGUCUAAGUCAUUCCUUGACACUGUGGAGUCUGUGAUCAGGACCGGGAUCUUUUGCAAAAUUGAGUUUCUACCUGGUCUGCUGAAGUUUGGGCCGGCGCUGCGCUCAACUGCUGCUAACACUUCCCACUUCAUGGUUCAGUUUUCAAGUGUCCAAACUACGCCCGGCAUCUGUCUUCCUGUUGUCACAACUUUUUCAGAAGUGCAAAACUACGGCAAGGCUAACGGGAGAGCCUGGACCCGACAAAGACACGCACCUUUGUCCCCAGAGCCGACGCGGGCCGCAGACGUCCCCCCGCGGCGGUCCUCAUGCCGGUCCCCGGGCGGCGGCGCAGCUAGCGGUGGGCUCCCGAGCCGUGGCUCCCUGCGGGCGGGCGGCCCGCGCCUCGGACCAUGGCCAGGUCCCCGCGCCCAAGGGAGCCUGUUGUGCCGCGCCGCGCGCCGACCCAGGAGGAAGCGAAGAAAUGCCGACUCGACGUCCGCACAGCCACUCCGAGGACACCAAGGGGUCGGGGAAGCAGCCUCCGGGCGCCCCGGGAGAACUUGCAGCGCGGGACCACGCGCUCAGACGGCGCCUCCGAAAGCGGCCGUCGGGAGGAGCGCUCCAAAGAACACGGGCAGCAGGAGCAGACGGGCGCGGACACCAGGGCCUCCCGGUCUGCGGCCAAGAGGAGUAGCCGGGCACCGGAGCCCAGACCCGGCGGAAGCUGAGUUCCAGGCCGCGCUGAGCUCCGUCACCGCAGCUCACGGGCGCAGCGACGGGGCCGACCAGCGCCUCGGGCUCGGGAAUGGCCCCGGGGCCCGCGCAGGACCAACAGCCGCAACGGAAGCGCCGAGAGGGGAGGAGCGCAGAGUCCAAGGCCCGGGGGCGGGGCGGGCCGGGCCGCGAGGCCGGCUCCCUCUCGCGCUCAGCCGGUCGCACCGUCGCCGCCGCCGCCGCCACCUCAGACCGCGGACGCUUCGUUGUCACGAGCCGGAGGGAGGGGGAAGGAGCCGGGAGUCUCUGCGCUCCGGCGCGCGGAGACCGCGGCGCUCGCAUCACGUGCCGCUCGGCCGGCCAAUGAUCCCCGGCAGGCGCGGUGACGUCAGAGCAGCGGCGUGGCCGAUGACAGCCGGCCCCCAUCACGUGGUCGGACCCACUCCAAUGGGCGGCGCCGAGGCGACCUGCUUGUUCCCGGCGGCCCGUGCGUCGGUGGUGGUUGGGUGGUAA
Molecule: long non-coding RNA, 1392 nt
Filed under: Piliocolobus tephrosceles (Ugandan red Colobus)
Lineage: Eukaryota; Metazoa; Chordata; Mammalia; Primates; Cercopithecidae
Description: lncRNA (ENSPTEG00000034068.1)
Source: RNAcentral